AAAUAGACUGCCCGUGAUAAGCGGAGGAAGGUGGGGAUGACGUCAAGUCAGUAUGGCCUUUAUGCCCUGGGCUGCACACGUGCUACAAUGGUCGGUACAGAGGGAAGCCAAACCGCGAGGUGGAGCAAAUCCCAUAAAACCGGCCCAGUUCAGAUUGAAGGCUGCAACUCGCCUUCAUGAAGUUGGAUUCGCUAGUAAUGGCGCAUCAGCUACGGCGCCGUGAAUACGUUCCCGGGCCUU
RNAcentral lists this ribosomal RNA (240 nucleotides) under uncultured Lentisphaerota bacterium. RNAcentral describes it as "uncultured Lentisphaerae bacterium partial 16S ribosomal RNA". It matches the Rfam family "Bacterial small subunit ribosomal RNA", at positions 1142 to 1382 of the family's 1533-position model. The record is from RNAcentral. Lineage: Bacteria; Pseudomonadati; Lentisphaerota.